AAGCCAGAGCUCUGAGGAAUGUCAC
This 25-nucleotide non-coding RNA is filed under the name Cricetulus griseus (Chinese hamster). The record is from RNAcentral. Lineage: Eukaryota; Metazoa; Chordata; Mammalia; Rodentia; Cricetidae.